Molecule: non-coding RNA, 183 nt
Filed under: Cyanobacteria bacterium UBA11367
Lineage: Bacteria; Bacillati; Cyanobacteriota
Also listed under: 6 other names
Description: 6S RNA
Rfam family: 6S / SsrS RNA
About the family: E. coli 6S RNA was the first non coding RNA to be sequenced, but its function was unknown until recently. It consists of 184 nucleotides that fold into an extended hairpin structure with a large single-stranded internal bulge.
Source: RNAcentral
GUUCUACUGAGACGUUGGUGAAUGCCGAUAUAGUUUAUUGAUCUAUGUCUGCUUCUAUAAGGGAGUCGAGUGACGCCGUGGCAGUAAACCGGGCUUGUACCCGGAAACAAAAAACGAGAGUCCGCGAUACCCACCUGGUUAUCCAGGUCAUAAGCUGAGGUAAAACGGCGUUUCGGGGAACCU